Molecule: ribosomal RNA, 1822 nt
Filed under: Protogastrostyla pulchra
Lineage: Eukaryota; Ciliophora; Spirotrichea; Sporadotrichida; Oxytrichidae
Description: eukaryotic LSU rRNA
Rfam family: Eukaryotic large subunit ribosomal RNA
Source: RNAcentral
AUCACUAAGCGGAGGAAAAGAAACUAACUAGGAUUGCCUCAGUAACGGCGAGUGAAGCGGCAAGAGCCCAAACUGGAAAUCUCUGCCUUCCCGGGCAGCGAAUUGUAAUCUUGAGUUCAUCUACUCAACUGUCGGUGGCGCAGAAGUGUUCUAGAAUGGACCGCCAGAGAGGGUGACAGCCCCGUAUGUGGUGCCACUGGCUACCGAGUCGGUGUUCGACGAGUCGGGUUGUUUUGUAUUGCAGCCCUAAGUGGGAGAUAAACUUCUUCUAAGGCUAAAUAUAUAUGGGAAACCGAUAGCGAACAAGUACUGUGAAGGAAAGAUGAAAAGAACUUUGAAAAGAGAGUCAAAAGACUUGAAAUCGUUGAGAAGGAAGCGGUAGAAAUUUAUUCUUCGACUUUGCGCUGUGCUCGUUGCCAAACCAUUGCAGGCGUGUAGUACUUCAUAGGCUGCUGUCUGCACUUGGGGAAGCGGCGGGUUUGCUCUUUGUCGUUAGGCAGAAUGAGGUCGUGUUCCCACAGAGGCUUCUCUUGCCUGGCUUCUUUCGAGGAGCAGCCUGAGUUUGCUGGUGGGCGCGCGGCCUGAGGGUGCUUUUGCGAUUUUGCCAAAAUGGUUUUUACCGACCCGUCUUGAAACACGGACCAAGGAGUCUAACCUAUAUGCGAGUGUGCUGGUGGAAAAACCAACACGCGUAAUGAAGGUAAUAGAUGCCAAGCGCAAGCAGCAGCAUCGACCGACCAUGAUUCUCUGAAGAAAGGUUUGAGUGUGAGCAUAUACGUUAGGACCCGAAAGAUGGUGAACUAUGCCUGAGUAGGGUGAAGUCAGGGGAAACUCUGAUGGAAGCUCGUAGCGGUACUGACGUGCAAAUCGUUCGUCAAACUUGGGUAUAGGGGCGAAAGACUAAUCGAACCAUCUAGUAGCUGGUUCCCUCCGAAGUUUCCCUCAGGAUAGCUGUGACAACUACGCAGUUUUAUUAGGUAAAGCGAAUGAUUAGUGGAAUCGGGGGUCUAGUGCCCUCGACCAAUUCUCAAACUUUAAAUUGGUAAGAACCUUGGCCUUUCUUAAGUGAGGCACAAGGGCUCAAUGCGUGUCUCUAGUGGGCCAUUUUUGGUAAGCAGAACUGGCGAUGAGGGAUGCUCCUAACGUCGGGUUAAGGUGCCCAACUACACGCUCAUCAGACACCACAAAGGGUGUUGGUUCAUCUAGACAGCAGGACGGUGGCCAUGGAAGUCGGAACCCGCUAAGGAGUGUGUAACAACUCACCUGCCGAAUGAACUAGCCCCGAAAAUGGAUGGCGCUUAAGCGUGUGACCGAUACCCGACCAUUGCAGCGAGAGUAAUGCCGCAAUGUGUAGGAGGGCGUGAGCGUUGUUGCGAAGCUUCUGGCGUGAGCCUAAGUUGAACAGCGUUUAGUGCGGAUCUUGGUGGUAGUAGCAAUUAUUCAAAUGAGAACUUUGAAGGCCGAAGUGGAGAAGGUUUCCGUGAGAACAGCAAUUGGUCACGGGUGACUCGAUCCUAAGACAUGGGGGAAAUCCUUGUCAAGUGCGCCAUCUGGCGCGUAGUCGAAAGGGAAUGAGGUUAAUAUUCCUCAAGCUGGAUGUGGGUGUUGGAUGGCAACAUAAAUGAGCUCAGAGACGCCAGCGCGAGCCUCUGGAAGAGUUAUCUUUUCUUUUUAACAGACUAGCGACCUUGAAAUUGGAUUAUCCAGAGCUAAGGUGGUAUGUCUGGAAGAGCACUUCGCUUUUCGAAGUGUCAGGUGCGCUCGCGAUGGUCCGUGAAAAUCUGAGUGAGAUAGCUUCACACCAGGUCGUACCCACAACCGC